This 924-nucleotide long non-coding RNA is filed under the name Equus caballus (horse). RNAcentral describes it as "lncRNA (ENSECAG00000059495.1)". Lineage: Eukaryota; Metazoa; Chordata; Mammalia; Perissodactyla; Equidae. The record is from RNAcentral.
AGGCAUAUGAUCUGGCUCAGCCAAUCAGAUGCACCCCCAGGAACUCUGAAUCUUAGCAGGUGAUACAAAGACACGGUGAUGGGAUGUAUCUGACAGAAUUGGCGGCAGCCGCCCCAGGAGGUUUCCAGGGCCAGAGGAGCCUCAGGGCCAGUUUCACUGUUGUCCUCCCUGCUCUAGCCCUGAGGUGUGAUUUGGCAGGGGUUCUGGCUGCUGUCCGGUCCUCCCUGGUUCCUGAGCUUAGCUCUCCAGCCAGCCCGAGGAGUCCGUGAGCUUUCUGUUGCUUUCAACGAAGAACCCUGACAAUAAACAGAGACAAGUCAGCAUCAUGGAGAUAGAGAGGAGCUGGGACCUGGAGCGUGGAUACAUAGGCAGUUGGCAGCAGUGAUUCUGUGAGUGCCCUCUGCCUUGCAAGGUUCCUCUCAGCAUCUCCUGCAGGAAGAAUGCCCGUUGGCCCUGCUGCCUGAGGGCCGAUGCCCCCGCUGCCUGGAGCCUUGGUUUUCUCAACUAAGAAGUGGAUGCGAACUCCUGCAUCACUGCUUAACCAGCAUCACCAGUUAACGUCGGCGGUGCCAGAGCAGUGCACGGCCCUGGCAGCUCACCAGGACCGACUAUUGGUGCCACCCGCUGUCCUGGGGCUCCGGGCAGGCUCUAGGAGCCCAGGCUCACAGCAGGCCAUGGGAAAGCCCUGUUGACCAGGGUGGGCUGGAAGGAACUUUCGCCUCCCCUCCUUGGGCUCUGGGAGCUGAGAAGGGGGCACAGUGACUGGGGCUAGAACGUGGAGGUGCUCCCCCCAAACAGCCUGAAGGAAGGAGGAAGGAAGAGAGGACGAGCUGAGCACACCCUGGGCCCCAGAGGAAGUUGAAAGCUGGGCCGUGGUGUGACAGUUCAUGGGCUGCACCGCAACUCCCCACCCCACCCUCACCU